GCCCGGGUAGCUCAAUCGGUAGAGCGUGUGGCUCUUAAGCUAUAAGAUAACCUCAAGGUCGCGGGUU
Molecule: non-coding RNA, 67 nt
Organism: Phialocephala subalpina
Lineage: Eukaryota; Fungi; Ascomycota; Leotiomycetes; Helotiales; Mollisiaceae
Source: the annotation of a GenBank genome assembly